GGACUGUAGCUCAGUGGUAAAGUGCUUGCCUUGAAUGUGUGAGGCACUGGGUUUGAUCCUCAGCACCA
This 68-nucleotide transfer RNA is filed under the name Marmota monax (woodchuck). Its description in RNAcentral is "tRNA.Ser". The record is from RNAcentral. Lineage: Eukaryota; Metazoa; Chordata; Mammalia; Rodentia; Sciuridae.